CUUUUUAUAUCCUUGUGCAACAUAUUUUUCAUUUCAUGAAGAAACAGCAGCAGUGCUUCCUUGUGAUAUUAUAACUACUUCAGAUGAUGGUCAUUUGACACCAGUUUCUUUGUUUGAGCUGCUUAGACUUGUCCUUUGACUUCCUGCCAUCUUGAUAAGUGUGUCUGAUUGCCUUUCUCGUAGAAACAGAAUUUUGUGUAACAUGAGCAAUGGCACACUUCUACUAUCUGAGGCAGGUUGCUGAUAUUCUCUUUUCUUGAGCUUAAAAAAAUGUUAAUGGAUGCACCCAAGGGUGGUCUAGUGUCAAUGAAGUGAGUGAAAAAAAAAACGAGAGACCAAGGUUCAAAUCGUAGCAGAGACAAAAACACUAGUGCCCUUCCACCAACUCUUCAGGCUGGUGCAUAUCCCGUGUUGUCGUGUCCAUGCGAUGUGAUCUCUCGACCAGUAGUUCGGCUCAUAUCUCACUUCUAGUUUCAGGCAGUGCUCAAACAUGUUUUGAACUGUGAACUGGUUCAUGCACUGCCAAGUAAUGAGGAAAUUAGACCACCUACAUCUAGCCUUGGAGAUCAAUGUCAGUAGCUUGUGGGACAAAAGUAUUUGAAGUUUGCUUGAAGGUUCCUACAUGGGCUUCAGCUUCACAGGAGGAAUUUCUGAAAGAUGUAAUGCAGUUUUUAAUUCUUCGUGGACACAGUCGUCUCGUUCCUCAAUGUGGCCUUGCUGAGUUUCCAGAUGUGAUUCUCAAUGGCAAACUCCUUAAUCUCUUUAACUUGUAUAGGGAGGGAUGGUUUUCAUGUUGGCAUUGGCAUCAUUUGGAAAGGACAAGUUUUCUCAAAGAUGCGAAAUCGCAUGGUAACCAAUAGGUUGACGCCCAGCUAAAUCCGAUGGCUUACAUACCUGUUGAAGAUUUUGGUGUAGCUAUUUCUCAGAAUGCUACGAGAUCUUGGUGCGAGCGGCAUUAUAUGACCACCGUGGGUUACCAGUACGUCUCAGGUUCCAAAAAGGGUAAUCAAAGAAGAGUAACCGACUAGGGUUUACAAAAGGGUUAAUUGUGUUUGGGUAGCGAGAAUGAAAGUCUUCGUCAUCCCAACCGGAGAACAUUAAUAUUUUAUGGAGGAUCAAACAUAAUACCUUUUGACUGCACAUGUGUUGAUGGUUGUUUCAGGGAUAUUUCCUUCGAUGUUUCCCAGACUAAGUGUGCCUGGGAGGACCGGUAUAUAGUAAAUUUGUGAAAAUUUUGUGUUCAAGUGCCGUAAGAGACUAUUUGACUCCUUCUGCUCCGCUCAAAAGAAGAACAAGAAGACUUCAUGGAUUCUACUGCAUUUAUGGGAGGAUCUGCUGAGGUAUUGGACCAUCGAGAAAUUUGAGAAAAAGAGUGAACAGGGAAAGAAGGCCCGAGCAUCUGAGAAGGGUGGCUCCUUGCACUGUGUGGGUGCAAGGAGCAUGGGGGCUACGAGGAGACUAUUGGAAAGAAAAUAUGGGAGGAAGAUGACGCAUGAUGAGUUCUUCAUGGAGACUCGCAUCCAGAAGAAGAAGGCACCGACAGAUCCAAGUAGAUGGGUCGAGGACCGGGCGGAGACUGCACAUAGGGUCGCUACAAGAUUAAUAUGGAGGAUUACACUUAAAGCUUGCCACCGAAUGUGCAAGGCGAGCGACCACCCUUUCAGAUGAAGAAGCGCUGAUGAUAUGGUUGGAUGUUGUCAGUGGUCCUAAAAAGGGGAUAGCAUACGGCCUUCCAAAGAUAUCAUUUCGGCGCUACAGGGCUGGAUUGCAAGGUAUAGAGACUUUCGUCCAAGGCGAGGCAAUUGAUAGGUCGACUAUCUCGUCUAUGGAAAAGAAGAUCACAAAGCUGACAGAAGAGCUUGAAGAGACAAAGGCUAGAGAACAAAAGAGAGAUGAACAAUUUGGUACCCUUCAAGUUCAGCUAGAAAAGAGGGGCGAGCAAUUUAAUCUUGUUCAAGGUCAGCUGGCCAAUCUUCUUGCUAGUGCUUCUUUCCCCAUUACCCGGUCUCGUGAGCCUUACCCAUGUGCUAAUCCUUCUCGUCGUGAUCCUUCGAACCAUGCCGACGAUGAAGGUUCUAGUAGUGAAGAUGGAGAUGAUGCAAUAUAAAACACUCAUUGAAUAGUGUGUACUGCUAAACAAAGUAUUGAACAUGUCAAUAUUUAGUUGGGACUAGUUUUGAAUGAUGAUUGUAUUAUUGA
Long non-coding RNA from Nicotiana attenuata, 2199 nucleotides. RefSeq lists it as uncharacterized. NCBI's taxonomy places the organism in Eukaryota, Viridiplantae, Streptophyta, Magnoliopsida, Solanales, Solanaceae. The record is from RefSeq and is a predicted model, not a curated record. The transcript has 11 exons.